Molecule: ribosomal RNA, 206 nt
Filed under: uncultured bacterium
Lineage: Bacteria
Description: partial 16S ribosomal RNA
Rfam family: Bacterial small subunit ribosomal RNA
Source: RNAcentral
UGUAGUCUGCAACUCGACUACAUGAAGCUGGAAUCGCUAGUAAUCGCGAAUCAGCAUGUCGCGGUGAAUACGUUCCCGGGUCUUGUACACACCGCCCGUCACACCAUGGGAGUCGGAAACGCCCGAAGCCAGUGACCCAACCUGAAAAACGGAGGGAGCUGUCGAAGGUGGGGCCGGUAACUGGGGUGAAGUCGUAACAAGGUAGC